UAAUCCCCCAUAGGCCUGAGGUACUGGAAGGUCCUCAGGCCGAAAGGGGCUCUGCCCGCCCGAGGAUGGGCCGGCGGCCGAUUAGGUAGUUGGUGGGGUAACGGCCCACCAAGCCGAAGAUCGGUACGGGCCAUGAGAGUGGGAGCCCGGAGAUGGACACUGAGACACGGGUCCAGGCCCUACGGGGCGCAGCAGGCGCGAAACCUCCGCAAUGCGGGCAACCGCGACGGGGGGACCCCCAGUGCCGUGGCAACGCCACGGCUUUUCCGGAGUGUAAAAAGCUCCGGGAAUAAGGGCUGGGCAAGGCCGGUGGCAGCCGCCGCGGUAAUACCGGCGGCCCGAGUGGUGGCCGCUAUUAUUGGGCCUAAAGCGUCCGUAGCCGGGCCCGUAAGUCCCUGGCGAAAUCCCACGGCUCAACCGUGGGGCUUGCUGGGGAUACUGCGGGCCUUGGGACCGGGAGAGGCCGGGGGUACCCCUGGGGUAGGGGUGAAAUCCUAUAAUCCCAGGGGGACCGCCAGUGGGGAAGGCGCCCGGCUGGAACGGGUCCGACGGUGAGGGACGAAGGCCAGGGGAGCGAACCGGAUUAGAUACCCGGGUAGUCCUGGCUGUAAAGGAUGCGGGCUAGGUGUCGGGCGAGCUUCGAGCUCGCCCGGUGCCGAAGGGAAGCCGUUAAGCCCGCCGCCUGGGGAG
RNAcentral lists this ribosomal RNA (690 nucleotides) under uncultured archaeon. RNAcentral describes it as "bacterial SSU rRNA". It matches the Rfam family "Archaeal small subunit ribosomal RNA", at positions 147 to 835 of the family's 1478-position model. The record is from RNAcentral.